RNAcentral lists this microRNA precursor (61 nucleotides) under Microcaecilia unicolor. RNAcentral's name for it is "Mun-Mir-10-P1c-v2_pre stem-loop". It matches the Rfam family "mir-10 microRNA precursor family", at positions 9 to 66 of the family's 74-position model. Rfam says of the family: In this case the mature sequence comes from the 5' arm of the precursor. The extents of the hairpin precursors are not generally known and are estimated based on hairpin prediction. The record is from RNAcentral. Lineage: Eukaryota; Metazoa; Chordata; Amphibia; Gymnophiona; Siphonopidae.
ACCCUGUAGAUCCGAAUUUGUGUUAAGAAGAUUGAUGUCACAAAUUCGUAUCUAGGGGAAU